RNAcentral lists this ribosomal RNA (264 nucleotides) under uncultured bacterium. RNAcentral describes it as "partial 16S ribosomal RNA". It matches the Rfam family "Bacterial small subunit ribosomal RNA", at positions 793 to 1055 of the family's 1533-position model. The record is from RNAcentral.
GUCCACGCCCUAAACGAUGAUGACUAGUUGUUGGAGUAGUUAAAUCCUUUAGUAACGCAGCUAACGCGCGAAGUCAUCCGCCUGGGGAGUACGGUCGCAAGAUUAAAACUCAAAGGAAUUGACGGGGCCCGCACAAGCGGUGGAUGAUGUGGUUUAAUUCGAUGCAACGCGAAAACCUUACCUACCCUUGACAUGUACGGAAGCCUGCAGAAAUGCAGGUGUGCUCGAAAGAGAGCCGUAACACAGGUGCUGCAUGGCUGUCGU